CAAGCGUGCAAGCAAACCAUU
This 21-nucleotide microRNA is filed under the name Zea mays. Its description in RNAcentral is "zma-miR11970-5p". Lineage: Eukaryota; Viridiplantae; Streptophyta; Magnoliopsida; Poales; Poaceae. The record is from miRBase by way of RNAcentral.